Molecule: small RNA, 865 nt
Filed under: uncultured Acidimicrobiales bacterium
Lineage: Bacteria; Bacillati; Actinomycetota; Acidimicrobiia; Acidimicrobiales
Description: bacterial SSU rRNA
Rfam family: Bacterial small subunit ribosomal RNA (bases 1-490)
Source: RNAcentral
AUGGCUGUCGUCAGCUCGUGUCGUGAGAUGUUGGGUUAAGUCCCGCAACGAGCGCAACCCUUGUCCUAUGUUGCCAGCGCGUAAUGGCGGGGACUCGUAGGAGACUGCCGGGGUCAACUCGGAGGAAGGUGGGGACGACGUCAAGUCAUCAUGCCCCUUACGUCCAGGGCUGCACACAUGCUACAAUGGCCGGUACAGAGGGCUGCUAUCCCGCGAGGGUGAGCGAAUCCCAAAAAGCCGGUCUCAGUUCGGAUUGGAGUCUGCAACUCGACUCCAUGAAGUCGGAGUCGCUAGUAAUCCCGGAUCAGCAACGCCGGGGUGAAUACGUUCCCGGGCCUUGUACACACCGCCCGUCAAACCACGAAAGUCGGCAACACCCGAAGCCGGUGACCCAACCUUAGGGAGGGAGCCGUCGAAGGUGGGGUUGGUGAUUGGGGUUAAGUCGUAACAAGGUAGCCGUACCGGAAGGUGCGGCUGGAUCACCUCCUUUCUAAGGAUUCACGAUCGAUCUCUCAUUGAAUAUUUCAGUGGGGGAUCGUGAUUCCCAGUCGAUCACUGGUUACUUGUUGGCUGAUGUCAUCCUGCCGGGUUGAUUUCAAGGCUUGCCUUGAUCAUGUCCCCGAUUCGGGCUCUGCAUCUUUCUUCAGACUGUUCCUAUUCCGUUCCCAGGGAGCGGCUUUGCUGCGUCCCUAUGGUCCCUUGAGAACUCCAUAGCGAGCACGAGCAUCUGAUUCUCCAAGAUAUAAAGAGCCAACGGUGAAUGCCUUGGCGCCUGAUGCCGAAGAAGGACGUGGGAGGCUGCGAAAAGCCACGGGGAGCUGUCUACCAAGCUUUGAUCCGUGGAUGUCCGAAUGGGGAAACCCGG